GGUAGCAUAGUUAAGGAAUAACGUUUGGUUUGCAUUCAAAAAUCGGCUUCGGCCUGCAGCCU
Molecule: transfer RNA, 62 nt
Filed under: Lyonsia norwegica
Lineage: Eukaryota; Metazoa; Mollusca; Bivalvia; Lyonsiidae
Description: tRNA-Ala
Source: RNAcentral